This 1774-nucleotide long non-coding RNA is filed under the name Coffea arabica (coffee). RNAcentral describes it as "long non-coding RNA (CARA_LNC007505)". Lineage: Eukaryota; Viridiplantae; Streptophyta; Magnoliopsida; Gentianales; Rubiaceae. The record is from RNAcentral.
AAACCCCUUAGCCCACAUAAAAAAAUCCUAACAUACUUCCUCUUCUUUGCAUCACAGAAACAGCACUGGAGGCUCUUAUUUUUUUCCUUCUCAUUUUUUCUCAUUGGAUAUUGUACCUAUACCAGCCAUCCUUCCCAUUCCACUUCUAAUACAAAAUCUUAUCAAGAUUUCUGAUCAAUUGAUCAAGAAAAUGCCACCUCCUAUAUCUGCCUCCCUAAGAAUUGAUCUCAACCAUUGUAUCUAGUUCUUAUUCUAUAUAAAUAGUUACUAAACAAGGAGUUUAGGUUUUUUCAGAAGCAAAGGGUGAUCAAAGGAUCAGUAACAGAAACAAAUAGGAGAGCAAAAGAUCAGAAAGAAAAGAAAGAAGAAGAAAAAUUUCAGAAAAGAAAAGGCAUUAGGACUAAUGAACCAGCCCCAUUCGUCCCCAGCUUUCUCUUUUGUUUUAGACCUUUUGGGUUAGAUUCUUUUUCCUAUGUUUUCUAGAUUCAUAAUAGAAUGAUUUCCCUAUUGAGAGUAUCUGGAGAAAGCGGCUUUAAAGGCUUGAAAUUGGAGUAUUGAAUUCAUCUUAGGCGCAACUCUUGUUGCCAAAGAAGCUGUCGCUUUGGGUCUAUUUUGUGUUCAAAAUCUAUACACUACCAGAGUUUAUGCUCAAUCUGACUUCCCAAGCACCAAUGGUAACUCUUGUUUAUUCUUUUCCAUGUAUUCAAAUUUAGGUAAAAGGUUAAAUCCAUCAUAAAGGAGUUCUAAGCUUUUAUCUUUUGAUUAGACAUGGUGAUUCAUGUUUUGCUUUUAUUUGUGCCCGUUUCAUGAUCAUUAUAGCCUCAUAGAGACCCUUUUAACCGUCUAUUGAUGUUUGAUUAAAGGGCUGAUUCCACUUUGUCCCCCCAAACUUUGGACGAUUACCCACUUUAGUCCCUAAAUUUCAAAAUGGGACACUUAAAUCCCUAAAACUUAUAAAUUGGGACACUUAAGUCCCUAAACUUAUAAAAUUGGACACUUAAAUCCCUAAACCCUUAUAAAAUGGGACACUUCGACCACCACGGCAUUCAGGAUUUUGUUAACAAUUUUCCUUAAUUGGGAGGUAUUUAUAAGUUUAGGGACUUAAGUGUCCCAUUUUGAAGUUUAGGGACUAAAGUGGGUAAUCAUCCAAAGUUUGGGGGGACAAAGUGGAAUUAACCCUUGAUUAAAUAAGAAAAUGUCAAAAUUAAAAGUUAGCUCCUUGAACUUUGAAUUGGGUAUGUUGUUAUUGGCAACUUUUGGCAAAUGAGAUUAUACUUGAUAGUUGGUCAAAGGUUGUUCUUUAUGUUUGAUGAAUCUAUAGCAUAUUUUAAAAUAGAUUUUAGUGCAUAUUUCAUGACAUUUUGUGUGUUUUGGGUUUUGGAUGCUUUGAAGGAAAUCUAUCUAUUUGUUCCCUGUUCAUGAACCUUGAGUUGAUAUAGAUAGUGAGGCUGUCUUUCUUGUGACGUGGAGGUUGUUUCUCUAGUUUUGGUUCCCAAAAUAAGCUACCAGAGCUUGAUCCCGGCGAAGUUCCGACCAUUCUUGUCGGAAUAUUUCUAGAGGCCAACGAAACUUGCUAAUGCUUACCUUGUCUUUUGUUUCCUUUUCUUUUUUUACUUGGAUUAAUUUGAGUCUUUGGGUUUGUUUAGAUUUAAGUCAAGCUUGUUUGGGUUUUAAGGAGUUGGAUUAAUAUGAUUGUUUGUUUUUUUUUUUGUCAUCGUCACUUUAUCUAUAUUAUUGGAAAAUUGAUAGGGACUGAACCACCAUCGGAUCAGCG